AAUCAACGCUGGCGGCGUGCCUAACACAUGCAAGUCGAACGAGAAAGUGGAGCAAUCCAUGAGUAAAGUGGCGCACGGGUGAGUAAACACGUGACUAAACCUACCUUUUAGUGGGGGAUAACCUAGGGAAACCUGGGCUAAUACCGCAUAAUACCUACGGGUCAAAGUUCGCCUCGGCGGACGCUGAAAGAGGGGGUCGCGGCCGAUUAGCUAGUUGGCGGGGUAAUGGCCCACCAAGGCGAUGAUCGGUAUCCGGCCUGAGAGGGCGCACGGACACACUGGAACUGAAACACGGUCCAGACUCCUACGGGAGGCAGCAGUGGGGAAUUUUGCGCAAUGGGGGAAACCCUGACGCAGCAACGCCGCGUGGAGGAUGAAGACCCUUGGGUCGUAAAACUCC
Molecule: ribosomal RNA, 400 nt
Filed under: uncultured bacterium
Lineage: Bacteria
Description: bacterial SSU rRNA
Rfam family: Bacterial small subunit ribosomal RNA
Source: RNAcentral